RNAcentral lists this ribosomal RNA (468 nucleotides) under uncultured bacterium. Its description in RNAcentral is "partial 16S ribosomal RNA". It matches the Rfam family "Bacterial small subunit ribosomal RNA", at positions 28 to 507 of the family's 1533-position model. The record is from RNAcentral.
GACGAACGCUGGCGGCGUGCUUAACACAUGCAAGUCGAACGGAAAGGCCCUGCUUUUGUGGGGUGCUCGAGUGGCGAACGGGUGAGUAACACGUGAGUAACCUGCCCUUGACUUUGGGAUAACUUCAGGAAACUGGGGCUAAUACCGGAUAGGAGCUCCUGCUGCAUGGUGGGGGUUGGAAAGUUUCGGCGGUUGGGGCUGGACUCGCGGCUUAUCAGCUUGUUGGUGGGGUAGUGGCUUACCAAGGCUUUGACGGGUAGCCGGCCUGAGAGGGUGACCGGGCACAUGGGGACUGAGAUACGGCCCAGACUCCUACGGGGGGCAGCAGUGGGGAAUAUUGCACAAUGGGCGGAAGCCUGAUGCAGCAACGCCGCGUGCGGGAUGACGGCCUUCGGGUUGUAAACCGCUUUCGCCUGUGACGAAGCGUGAGUGACGGUAAUGGGUAAAGAAGCACCGGCUAACUACGUG